This 246-nucleotide long non-coding RNA is filed under the name Anas platyrhynchos platyrhynchos (common mallard). Its description in RNAcentral is "lncRNA (ENSAPLG00000017993.1)". The record is from RNAcentral. Lineage: Eukaryota; Metazoa; Chordata; Aves; Anseriformes; Anatidae.
GCCUGGGCUAGUUUCGUCUGAACAAACAAAUCACAUGGCCUCGUUCCUGCUUUGAGAUUGGCUGAAAAACGCAUUGCUGAUGUCAUUUUCUACUGAUGAGUACCUCUGGAUUUUGCCCAUGAGUCAUUAUACAUACAAUGUCUGCUAAUUCUCCUGUGCACUGAAGAUUUUUGGAAAUUCAAAAUUUAGGAUAUAAAAUACAGGAACACCCAGCAAGCCCCAUACACUUCCACGACAGCAUUUGUC